This is a long non-coding RNA of Chiroxiphia lanceolata (lance-tailed manakin), 9018 nucleotides long. RefSeq lists it as uncharacterized. NCBI's taxonomy places the organism in Eukaryota, Metazoa, Chordata, Aves, Passeriformes, Pipridae. The transcript has 8 exons. The record is from RefSeq and is a predicted model, not a curated record.
GCGGAGGAGAAGUCCCGGGACCCCCCGACCCGCUCCCGAGUUCCAAAAUGACCUUUCCCCGCAUCGUUUCGGAGGUAACCGAGCUGCGUAAUUAUAUUUGCACUUCCAGAAGACUGCAUCAGAGUCCCCUUAUUGGUUUGAAAUUCCAUUAAAUAUAUUGCAAGAGCUCCUAGGUUAAGCUUGAUUUAAAUUUGCAUACAUUUUCAUAUAUUUAGCAGAAAUAAAAGAAGGCUUGCAGCUACCAGAAAGUCAUUAAGGCAUUAGUUUCUCUGAGAAGACAGAUCUGAAGAAAAUUCAAGAAAAUGAGAAAAUAGAUCUAAAUAAGGUGGAGUUGAAUACAAUGUGAUUAACUACAAGCAAUAUGUUGUGAAGAUGAUGGUAUUCAGACACAUACCCAAACAAUUUGAUUCAGAUAAAUUGGAUACAAGACUUUGACCAGCAUGAGAAGAACAGGUGGCUGAAGUGCUCCAAAGGGAAGGGUUUGAAGAUGGGAAUCACCUCCGGGACUCUCCGUACCCCUGAAGCUGCCGGGGGGGAGAGGAGCUCCAGCUCCAGGGAUACCCAAGGCACUGUGCAAGCAGGGGGCAUCCCAGACCUGUGGAGGAGCUCAGCAGGAGAAGAAUCAGUGGGGGAAAAUAGUCCUAAUGCUGUGUUGCUGCUGGUGGGUCAGGCAGUUUGAACAGAGGUCUGCGGUGCUCCGGCUCGUUGGGAACUUUUGUGCUCAGACCAGGAGGAUGCUACAGAUGGAGCUGAUCUGUGAAUUUCAAAUCUGUGCCUCCACCAGUGUUGACACGGUGCAAUGAUGCAGCCGAGCUCUCAGAUGUCUGGCUCGAAGAGUUGUGAAAUGAUCAAGCAGACAAACCCAACCAUUUCAGCCUUGUCAAUCUAGUUCUCAGUGGACAGAUGCCCUGGUGCUGGAAAAGCAGCAUGCCCUGCAACACCUCUUGGCAGUGUGGAAAAAGAGCCAGAGAUGUCCCAGACACGAAGUACGACCGGAUUCUCAGCUCAAAAAAUCAGGCUAAGAAUUUGCCAAGGGCAUCAACAGCAGUUUUCCCAGGCUUCAGCACAAGGAUUAUGUAGUCAAUCCACAAAUGACUCCAAUCUUUGAAGAAAAGGACAUGGUUAUCAGAGAGGCUUUGACGACAGCAAGGACUGGAGCACAAUCUGCCUUUUUCCAUCAGAGAUUCCCAUUCCCUCUCAUUAACAUACUCAGGACAUCAGCACAGCCAUCAGUCCCAGGGGAAUCACCUCAAACUUCUCAGGGAAUAUGCACAAGACCUGGCCCUGUGUUAUUUCAAACAGAUCAAACCAGAUGUGCCUUGUGAAAGGUUUGGAGAAAGGCUGGGGCACAGCAGCAUUAGGGGAGGGAUUCACAGGUUGUAGGGAAUUUUCAAAUCUAUUGCUAUAUGUUGGUAAUCUUUCUUAUUUCCCAGGGUUUUUCAAUCCCACUGAGGAUGCAGAGCUGCUCUGUGAUAUCUGCUGCUGUAAGUGAUUAUAUAAUUUAUGACCUAAUUUUAGACUUUUGCGUAACCGCGUUGAAACACUCGUGGCGGAUCCGGAUUUCUCUGCACGGAGCGUUCCAGCAUCAGACACCAGCUCAAACAUGACUCCUGUGAGCUGCCCAUCAGCAAGGAGUUAGAGGCAUUAAAGGCAAACAGCCCAACAGUAUUCAGACAGCAUUACAGGAUUAGACGGUGGGGUUUUUUUUCCCUGUAAAAAUCUGAUUUAGCAGCACUUCCCAAGCCGUGCGCGGCGGCCGCCAGGAAUCCCCAGGUACCACAGUCAGCACCCAGCAACUCCAAUUACUGACUUUCAGACCCCUCUGGGAUAAAUUCAUUGUAGGGAGGGCUGGAGGAGGUGGGGAAGCAGGUGAAGAAUGACUUUAAAGCCACUGCCAGCCCCUCGCCCUCCAGAAUUUCCCCUCAGCACCAGCCUGGCUGCUGGGCUGAUUUUUUGCUGCACAAGGUGUUGCCAGAUAACCCCUAAAUGAAUUAUUCUAAAGCUGUAGCCACAUUUUUUUGUGUGUCUUCUGUGUGUCCAGGGUAAUUCAGUGGUGCUGUAAAUAGUACUGUGAACUGCAGGUAUUUUGUCAAUUGAAACCACAUUGUUUGGACCAGUCUUUCAUCAAAUUUAAUCUACUGCCUAUUGCAUUAAUGCAUUUUGAGAGCACUUUAUUCUGGUGUCCCAUAGGGAAGUGGCUUGUGGUUGAGGAGGGUUUAGAAGCUUCCUUUGUGCCUGCAGUGCAGUUAUGAGGAAUUUUUCCUGGUUUUCUACCUUGCCCUGGGAUAUCCAACACGGAUGACAGAGCUGAGAUGCUGCAUCCUCAGAGCAGCACCUGGAGCUGUAGGAACCAUGUCCCUGCAGCCCAACACCUCCCUCUAACACAACAACUUAAUGCACAGGGUGAGGUGGGUGCCCACAUGAAAGAAAAAGCAUCCUUAGGAAAAGCUGACACUAUUUCUUGGAUUAAGAAGGAUUGGAGAGUGUCUCUGUUUGGCUUUAACUGAGCAGUUCCAGGAAAGCAGCAGCGACCGAAGUAUUUUCAGUAGCACAUAAUUCAAGAGCGAAAUCAUAAUUCCAAUUACCAUUUCAGGCACUCCUGGCCUUGGGAAACCUAGGCUAAUAUUUAUUAUUAUAUUAUUGACCUCUGAUUUCUUCAUCAUUUACAUUAGCAACUCUGAUAUUCUUAGUAACAUCCUUUAAAUCAUAUAAGCAGGUGUCAACAGUGCACGAUGAAGUCACAUCCUGCAGCUUUUUUAUUUACUUAGUCCAUUUUUUUCCUGGUAAAAUAACGGUGUGAGUUGCAUAAUCUCACCUCCAUGGGGCCUCUAGGGGGGUAUAUAAUCACAGAUUGCAUUUUCUAUAAUCUCUUAUUAUGAGUCAAUCCUGUCAGAGGCACAAACAGUUGUACAAAGUCAGUAUUUCACAACCAUCACUGCCUGACAUCAUCUUCCACAUAGCACAAGAAAAUAUUUACUUAGCUCUUUGACAUUAAUGGCCACAAAGCCUUUGAAACAAAAAAAUUAUGGAAAGCGAGGAACUGAAAUGGAAUAAUUUGAUUUAAUGAAUUUAGCCCAUUUUCCAUGUGCAGGAAUUAGAUUCAGAUGUUUUUUUAUAAUGUCUGGGAUGGCCAAGGACACCUCCAAUCUCUGUUCUUCAGUGAGGUGCCCAGGCACAAAUCAGAGUUGCCCAGAAAAGCUGGAAGCUGAUCCUUUUCUCCAUUGUUUUCUUUGCGUAAGUGACCAUUUCUCUGGGGGAAUCAAGGCACUGCAUUUAUUUUCCAGGUGCGGGUGAGGUGCCAAAAGCAGCCUGAGGCUUCUCAUUGCCUUCAGCAGAGUUGAUAAAAUUGUGUUUAUCCACAAAGAGACUACAAUUUUUUUUUUCCAGAUUGUUCUUGUGAUGUGUCAAAAAGUUUUAAUUCUCUGUUUGUCUCCUGUGCCCACUGCUCAUCUUCCUGCCUCAGUGCAGCUCCUGCUGUUCCCCUCCAGAGAGCACAGCCACGGGCUUUUCAGCAUCUCCUUGGGAAACAUCUGGAGCUGGGGAAAGUGGGACCCAUCGGUGCCACCCGGAGAGGGCUGUCCUUGGUCAUCUUCAUCUCUCAUCCAUCAUUUUUUUACUGAAAUUAAAUCCUUCUGAAUUUACAUUGCCUUAAAGGGUUUACCUGGCUCAGCAGGUGGCAGGGUUUCACACAGGUUUGGGAUCGUUUUGGCCACCUUUGGAAGGUUUGUGAGCCUUGCACAGGUUGUCAGGCAGGUGGGCUCUGCUCUGCUCUCUGGGCACGGAGUCUUAAAAACCCCCUCUUGAUUUCCACAUGUCAGGAGAGGGAAAAGGGUCAGAACAGCCCUAGAUCAUGUUUCUGAAGGCUGUAAAUGCAAUAAUCCUAAUCAUUAGCAGUUUCUGUAACAACACAGGUUACAGACACGGGACCAAACACCUGCAGGGAACCUCCUCAGGCGAAAUUCUCCUCGGCUUCAAUCAUGUUUUUCCGGAGAAGAGACCUCUGGCUGCGCUCAGGGCCAUCCGCCUGUUCCUGGCUGAAGAGGCUCUUCUAAUCUACUGCUAAGAGACUUAUUAGCAAUGUAAAAAGGAAUUUGAAGCAAGGAAAGUGUUCUUCCUAGCAGAAAUACGUUUGGUAAAAUUAGAUUUGCUGACAGAAGUAAUUGGGCCGACUCCUCAUGACUAUGGAUGCUGUUUGUUGCCCCUUAUCUUACCAAAGCAAAGGGCACCAAAUACUUCGAACUUUGUAAAUAAUUGUUUCCAAAGUGUUUUCGUUUUUUUUUUUUUCCCCUCUAUAAAUUCUUUAGAGAAAAGCUGGUUUGCUGGUUUCUAAUCCUUUCUCUUCCAAAGCUUUUGAAGCUCAGCCCCUUCCCACUCUAGAUAUCUUUUAUUUUCCCUUUUCGGAUUUUAAUAUUUGUUAGAUUACAAAAAUCACUUUUAAGGGGAAAUGCAGAGCUUUUGCUCAGAUUGGAAAAGUCAUUCCUAGAGCUUUAACAAAGUGGUGAAAGAGAGAAAAUUAUCAAAUAGAAGAGCUUUAUCCCAGACUCUGGCAGAUGUUGUUCUGUGGUGUGGAGAUGUGUGUCCAAAGCCUGAUCAGCGCCCAGAGCAGGGUCCUGUCCAUCGGUCUGGCUGUUUUUUCUCACUCCAGAUUCCUGCCUAGUGGAGGGAUUAGCCCUUUGCUGGUUCUUCAUUCCUUCUGGGCUGAACCAGAGCCAGGACUUGCUCUUCCCUACCCCACCAGUGCUCACUGUCUCCUCUGGUGCCAAGCAGAGGGGCACUGUUUGCUUGUAAACAGCAUUAUUUCUUAGUUUUAUUCCACUUUUGCACCCACAGCAACAAAUAUUAAUGCAGAAACAGGACACAAACUGUCCCAGAGUGUGUGCUAUUAAAGUAAGGUCAGAGCCUGCAGGAAAUCCACACUUAUUUGCAUAAAGCCAGGCAGACUCACAGAUGUGGGAAAACUGAAAUGCUGGAAAAGCAAGACGUGACUUUCUCCAUCAUCCUUGCAAGUUGAACAUGAUUUUUUUUCCAUUGUCUAUCUGCUAUGUAUCUAUUUCUUUACUCAUUUUGGCAAAAGACACAAAUAAUGAGAAGUAUCUGUCUGUAAUGGACAGUUACCCCCUGUGGGGUCUCACAGGUGACACGGGUGGGUGAGGUCUGGGCAGAGCUGCAAGACCAGAGAAAUAAAUGACAGCUACCUGUGCUCAUGUUGCCAUUGGAGCAUGGAUGGGGAUUAAAUCCUGAUCUCCAACCUCAGGCAGCAACAUAAAGCAGGGAGCAGAAAAGCUGAAUUCCCCUGCUGGAAUUCAAGGUAACUUCUGGAGUCGCAGGAGCUUCAGAGCAGAUCCCAAAGGAAGGAUCCUUGUUGAGCUGCCUUGUGUCAGUCUCAAACCCAGCACACAAAAUCCCAUGGGGUGUCUGGUCCAGGUCCAGCUGCUGUUGAGGAAUGUUGACGUGUUCAUGCCAUGGUGCCAUUCCCCAGCUGUUGUCCAAUGCCAACAGGGGGGAAAGGUAGUUCCUGGGAAGGGCAGCUGUGAUAUUUACUUAUGGAGUCUUCAAAUCAUAACAAACAUCUUUCUUGGUAGCAGGAGGCGCCACCAAGACUGAUCUUCUCCAAAGCCAGAGGUUUCAGGUCUUGGAUGCCACCAGCAGAUCUCCAGGUGCUUGGCUGAUGAUUUGUUCCCUGCCCCAGGUGAGGUGGGAAGGAAUUUAGAAUCACAGAAUGAUAGAAUCAUGAAGGUUGGAAAGGACCUUUAAGAUCAUCGAGUCCAACCAUCAACCAGUGCCACCCACAUGUUCACCACUAAACCUCGUCCCCAGGGGUCACAUCCACACAGUUUUUGAACACUUUCAGGGAUGGUGAUUCCACUACUGCCCUGGGCAGCCUGUGCCAGGCCUUGACAACCCUUUCUAUGAUGAAACUUCCCCUAAUGUACAAACUAAACCUCCCUUGGUCAACUUGAGGCCAUUUCAUCUCAUCCUGUCACUUGUUAUCGGGGAGAAGGGACCGACCCCCAGCUAAAUACACCCUCCUGUCAGGGAGUUGCAGAGAGUGAGAAGCCCCCCCACCGAGCCUCCUUUUCUGCAGGCUGAGCCCCUCCAGCUCCCUCAGCUGCUCCUGGUGCUCCAGCUCCUUCCCCAGCUCCAUUCCCUUCCCUGGGUACAUUCCAACCCCUCAGAUUCAUCCUUGUCAUGAGGAGCCCAACACCGAACGCAGGAUUUGAGGCGCGGCUGGGAUUUUUUUCCCCUUAAAAAAAAACCCCUAAAUAAAUCCAUGAUUUUUUUUUUACGAAGGCACCUUCCAGCAGAGCCCAAAUGGGAAUGUUUGUGUUCCGUACCAUCCGUCAACGCCGCGGGAGCGGCUCCUCCAGCUCCUCUUUGGUGGCCAGAAGGAGCUGUCAGGGAGCCGCUCGGCCGCGGCGCCGGGCGGGGUGGGAGCCGUGCUGGCACGGAUCCCUCUGCACAGGGGAUUUCUGCUCUGACAAUUUUUGGCUCCUUUAGGUUACUUCGGAGCUGCACGGAAUUUUUAAUGCUCUGCACUCUCGCAGGGGCUGACAGCGAACUUAAAUACAGAUUGCAAAGAUAGAUCAUCUCCCAGCACCACUUUGUUUGCUGCUGCUCUAAAAUCAUUCUACUUGUUCCUACAGCUCCUAUAAAGCCAGAAGAGCUCUCUAUAUUUGCUUCCCGGAUGCCUUUUUCUCCUCUGCUCGCGACUAUAAAAGCAGCUUUUCAUGCUCCAAAUCGGAGAUAAAUUGAAAUCGCUGCCGAAGAAAUAAAACACGAGGCUAAUCAAAUUGUGGCACAGGAAACAGCCUUCAGCCAGUGCAUUUUUUUGAGAGCUAUUUUUAGCCUAUAUUUUUAUUUUGUCACUCCAUAUGGGAAGUCAAACCCAUAUGGUUUGGGAGAAUGGAAGGUUGUGCUUUUGUAGACAUCUUGCAAACCAUCCUGGCCCAGCCUUGUCCUUAAAGAGGGGCUUAAAUCCAAUUGUCUGCCGUGGGACUGGAGCACUUAAAUGCUCAGGCCCUGCCUGAGGUUGUAACAGAACGAUUCCCUCCUGAGGUGUAAAACUGUUCUACAUUCGUUAAACCAGUCUCCAGUUAACUUGGCUCUUCUUAAUUAGGGUUUUUCUCAUCUGUACACUUUCUUUUUUUCCUUUUCCUUUUUAAUUUCUCCAUCAUUCCAAUGCCCUGAUGGAUGGAGUUGGUCCAGUCCCAGCCAGGAUGCAAAGCUGAGCAUCCACAGCCAUCACUCUCCUGCUCUUUGGAGUAGGUGUUUGUGCCCUCCAAAUGCCCAAAUUAAUGUGAUUUCAGGGAAUAUGACUUUUUUCUGCCCACAACACCAUGGCACCUUCUGAGUAUGUUGAUGAAUAAAUACUUGGCUAGAAAAUGUCCUGUCUUUCUGAUAAACUAAAUGUCUAAAAUUAGAAACGUGUCCCCAGUGUUCAUCCACCAGAAUAUCCACUUUACUUGUGUUAUAGGUUGUUCAUGAUACUGAAUCAAAAAUUAUGUGUUUUCUAAGGAAUUUUGUGGGAUGGUCGAAAGCACUGACAGAAAGUUUUUAACCUGGUGAAUUCCAGAGGAUCGUUUUACGAAAUUUUUAAUUGUAAUCUUGGGAUUUCUUCCCUCUGUAGUUUCUCAGAAGGUGGAAUUAAAAACAAAAAUGACAUAACAAAAUGCAGCUGGAUGCUUUUAUAGGUAAAGCAAUGAACAGAGGCUCUGAAAUGUGGGUGAUAGGGCUUAGUGGACAUUCAGCUGAAAGUUGGAUUUGAUGAUCUUGGAGAUCUUUCCAAACUUAAUGAUUCUGUGAUUUUAUGGUGUGAAUUACAGAGGCUCAGGGGAGCAAACACCUCGUGGAACUGCUCUGACUGAAGGAAAAGUAAUUUCCUGUAUUACUUUUGAUUUCAGAGUUGUAUUUAACCUCAAUGUGGAAGGAGAAUAGAAAAAAGAGUAGGGUUUUGGCUGGUAAUAUUUUUAUGCCUUUUUUUUUCCCCUUAGGAAACAAUUCUCCCCCUUUUUGAGGGGAUAAAGUGCAAUGGGAAUAGGACUGUUCAGUGGAGAAUUCCGUGUGGCAGAAGGAUGAGCAGCAUGGAGAUUUCUGAAAUGGUUUGGACGUCACUUCCACCAAGCAGAAGAAAUAUUAUACUAAAAUUGUUCAUCAAAACUGAGACCUCAUAUGGAUUAUUUACUGGAAAAUCCAGAAAACAACCACUGAGUUUUUUCCCAGAGCAGAGAUCUUGUGUUAGAGGAGACAAUGUUAAAAUAACCAAGCCCCAGAAAGGACUAAAAGGAAAAAUCUGAGAUUAGAGCAGAGAGAAAUUAUCAGAAUUAGUAAAAGUGAUUUGAUGAAGCCUUGUUUGUGUUCAAAAUCUGUGCUUGUUUUGAAAUCCAAAGAACUACUGUUAGUUACAUUAUUGGCUCAGAGGAGCUUUAUAGCCAGGAAACCCCCAUCACCUGUAUCCCACUUUCAAAAAUACACUUUAUACCAUUCUGAAAUCCCAAAAGACAGUGAAAACCCCUGGAUUUGUGAUGCUUGGGAUUAUUGGAAUUAAUACAUGUAGUUGGGCUUUCCAGGGGAUGUUAUUCUGGAAUAUUUGAAAAACAGAAUUUCUGGCCCAGGUGUUUGGGGAGAGGGUGUGAUGUGGGCACAGGAGCACUGUGAGAUGGACUUGUGAUGUCACCGUGAUUCCUGGACAUCCCUUGGCACCCAAGUGACUUCAGAAGGGCUGGAAUUUCAUCCCAGCUCAGGAGUAGCUGAUGGAGGUGAGGUGGAGCAGCUUCAAGUCAGUGAUGUAGAACUGAAAAAAUUCUUUGUCAUAUAACUGAUCUCAUCAGCAGCACAGGGCACCCAAAUGUCACUUUGGAUUUUCUCCUGAGUUUCCAUUUACGUCACUAAUAUAUUGAUAAUAUGUUAAGGUAUUAUCCUCAAAAAAAGGAAAGAAAUAAUUUCUUUAUGAUAUGGGCAAUUUGUAGAAGACAUUCGUGUAAUUUUGCAUUCUAAAUGUGAUUUAUAUUUAUAAAUAAA